GCAAGUCGAGCGGACGAGUGGAGCUUGCUUCUCUAUUGAGCGGCGGACGGGUGAGUAAUGCCUAGGUUUCUGCCUGGUAGUGGGGGAUAACGUUUCCAAACGAACGCUAAUACCGCAUACAUCCUACGGGAAAAAGUGGGGGAACUUCUGACCUGGCGCUAUCAGAUGAGCCUACGUCGGAUUACCUAGUUGGUGAGGUAAUGGCUCACCAAGGGGACCAUCCGUGACUGGACUGAGAGGAUGAUCAGUCACACUGUAACUGACACUCGGACCAGACUCCUACGGGAAGUACUACUGGGGGAAUUUUGGACAAUGGGUUAAAGCCUGAUCCAACCAUGCCCCGAGUGUCAACAAGGGCUUCAGAUUGGAAUCACUUUAAGUUGGGAUGAAGGGCAGGAACAUCAUACCUCGUUGUUUUGACGUUACCCCCUGAAUAAGCACCGGCUAACUUCCUGCCAUCACUCCCUGUCAUACGAAGGGUGCAUGCGUUAAUCGGAAUUACUGGGCGUAAAUCUUGCGUAUGAGGGUCUCUCAGGUGGAUGCUAAAGCCCCGUGCUCAACCUGGGAACUGCAUCCAAAACUGACUAUCUAGACUAUGGAACAUGAUGGUGGAAUUUCCUAUGGAAAUUCCACAUGCAUCGAUGUAAUAAGGAAAGACGUUGACGAACGCCACCGCCUAAGGUGACUCUGUGACUUGUGACUGACACUGAGGAGAGAAAACAUGAUGAGAUACCAUGAUUAGACACCCUGGUAACGCUCUCCACUAACCAU
Molecule: ribosomal RNA, 771 nt
Filed under: Stutzerimonas stutzeri
Lineage: Bacteria; Pseudomonadati; Pseudomonadota; Gammaproteobacteria; Pseudomonadales; Pseudomonadaceae
Description: bacterial SSU rRNA
Rfam family: Bacterial small subunit ribosomal RNA
Source: RNAcentral